AUUGAACGCUGGCGGCAGGCCUAACACAUGCAAGUCGAACGGAGUGGCGGACGGGUGAGUAAUGUCUGGGAAACUGCCUGAUGGAGGGGGAUACCUACUGGAAACGGUAGCUAAUACCGCAUACUCUCAGCUUAGCCUAGGUCGGAUUAGCUAGUUGGUGGGGUAAAGGCCUACCAAGGCGACGAUCCGUAGCUGGUCUGAGAGGAUGAUCAGUCACACUGGAACUGAGACACGGUCCAGACUCCUACGGGAGGCAGCAGUGGGGAAUAUUGGACAAUGGGCGAAAGCCUGAUGCAGCCAUGCCGCGUGUGUGAAGAAGGUCUUCGGAUUGUAAAGCACUUUAAGUUGGGAGGCGUUACCAACAGAAGAAGCACCGGCUAACUUCGUGCCAGCAGCCGCGGUAAUAC
RNAcentral lists this ribosomal RNA (407 nucleotides) under uncultured bacterium. RNAcentral's name for it is "partial 16S ribosomal RNA". It matches the Rfam family "Bacterial small subunit ribosomal RNA", at positions 30 to 526 of the family's 1533-position model. The record is from RNAcentral.